UGGGUAACCUGCCUCAAAGAGGGGAAUAGCCUCCCGAAAGGGAGAUUAAUACCGCAUAAUAUGUUUAGGUCGCAUGACUUUAACAUCAAAGGAUUUUCUUUUAGAAAUUCCACUUUGAGAUGGACCCGCGGCGCAUUAGCUAGUUGGUGAGGUAACGGCUCACCAAGGCAACGAUGCGUAGCCGACCUGAGAGGGUGAUCGGCCACAUUGGAACUGAGACACGGUCCAGACUCCGUAGGAGG
This 242-nucleotide ribosomal RNA is filed under the name uncultured bacterium. RNAcentral describes it as "partial 16S ribosomal RNA". It matches the Rfam family "Bacterial small subunit ribosomal RNA", at positions 118 to 348 of the family's 1533-position model. The record is from RNAcentral.